This 478-nucleotide ribosomal RNA is filed under the name uncultured bacterium. Its description in RNAcentral is "partial 16S ribosomal RNA". It matches the Rfam family "Bacterial small subunit ribosomal RNA", at positions 28 to 523 of the family's 1533-position model. The record is from RNAcentral.
GACGAACGCUGGCGGCGUGCUUAACACAUGCAAGUCGAACGGUCAGGCCCUUCGGGGUACACGAGUGGCGAACGGGUGAGUAACACGUGGGUGAUCUGCCCUGCACUUCGUGAUAAGCCUGGGAAACUGGGUCUAAUACCGGAUAGGACCACUGCAUGCUUGGGUGGUGGUGGAAAGCUUUUGCGGGGUGGGAUGGGCCCGCGGACUAUCAGCUUGUUGGUGGGGUGAUGGCCUACCAAGGCGACGACGGGUAGCCGGCCUGAGAGGGUGACCGGCCACACUGGGACUGAGAUACGGCCCAGACUCCUACGGGAGGCAGCAGUGGGGAAUAUUGCACAAUGGGCGCAAGCCUGAUGCAGCGACGCCGCGUGAGGGAUGACGGCCUUCGGGUUGUAAACCUCUUUCAGCACCGACGAAGCGCAAGUGACGGUAGGUGCAGAAGAAGGACCGGCCAACUACGUGCCAGCAGCCGCCGUAA